Asterias rubens (European starfish) is the source of this 432-nucleotide long non-coding RNA. RefSeq lists it as uncharacterized. The record is from RefSeq and is a predicted model, not a curated record. The transcript is spliced from 3 exons. NCBI's taxonomy places the organism in Eukaryota, Metazoa, Echinodermata, Asteroidea, Forcipulatida, Asteriidae.
UCGUCUGCAUUAUGAAGUGUCUUCCCCGUCCGUCAGAAAGGAAGUCAAAAAAAAGGUGACAGGGGAAAGAGUUGGUUGCUUCUAUAAAUGGUGAGCACUUGCAAACUUAUUCCUGGAACUAUACAGAUUGACGAUAUUGCUCUGACUGACAUAUGAUUGGAGCCCCUACUAUGGUUACACUAGGGUUACACGUCUACUGUUGACUAGCCUAUGUAAGACUGAACAAGCAUCAGCAGUGCAGAUGGAUUCUACAGAAUGGAUGAUGUAAAUGGGCAAAGUUUGGCAUGGUUCUCUGGCCUGUUAGUGUUAUCGACGUGACUUUAGAGUACAUUGCCUAUGAAAACUGGGCCAAAAACUGACGUGUGUGUACCGUCUUUAUUGCAUGAUCGCCUGCUAUCGAAUGGUUGUUGUUGUUUGUGUUGUUUAUUUGAU